This 1126-nucleotide ribosomal RNA is filed under the name Candidatus Phytoplasma citri. Its description in RNAcentral is "bacterial SSU rRNA". It matches the Rfam family "Bacterial small subunit ribosomal RNA", at positions 207 to 1337 of the family's 1533-position model. The record is from RNAcentral. Lineage: Bacteria; Bacillati; Mycoplasmatota; Mollicutes; Acholeplasmatales; Acholeplasmataceae.
UAAUAGGUAUGCUUUAGGAGGGGCUUGCGCCAUAUUAGUUAGUUGGUAGGGUAAUGGCCUACCAAGACGAUGAUGUGUAGCUGGACUGAGAGGUUGAACAGCCACAUUGGGACUGAGACACGGCCCAAACUCCUACGGGAGGCAGCAGUAGGGAAUUUUCGGCAAUGGAGGAAACUCUGACCGAGCAACGCCGCGUGAAUGACGAAGUACUUCGGUAUGUAAAGUUCUUUUAUCAAGGAAGAAAAGCAAAUGGCGAACCAUUUGUUUGCCGGUACUUGAUGAAUAAGCCCCGGCUAAUUAUGUGCCAGCAGCCGCGGUAAGACAUAAGGGGCAAGUGUUAUCCGGAAUUAUUGGGCGUAAAGGGUGCGUAGGCGGUCUAGUAAGUCAGUGGUGUAAUGGCAACGCUUAACGUUGUCCGGCUAUUGAAACUGCUAAACUUGAGUUAGAUAGAGGCGAGUGGAAUUCCAUGUGUAGCGGUAAAAUGCGUAAAUAUAUGGAGGAACACCAGAGGCGUAGGCGGCUCGCUGGGUCUUAACUGACGCUGAGGCACGAAAGCGUGGGGGAGCAAACAGGAUUAGAUACCCCUGGUAGUCCACGCCCGUAAACGAUGAGUACUAAGUGUCGGGUUAAACCGGUACUGAAGUUAACACAUUAAGUACUCCGCCUGAGUAGUACGUACGCAAGUAUGAAACUUAAAGGAAUUGACGGGACUCCGCACAAGCGGUGGAUCAUGUUGUUUAAUUCGAAGAUACCCGAAAAACCUUACCAGGUCUUGACAUGUUUUUGCAAAAUGAUAGUAAUAUCGUGGAGGUUACCAGAAACACAGGUGGUGCAUGGUUGUCGUCAGCUCGUGUCGUGAGAUGUUAGGUUAAGUCCUAAAACGAGCGAAACCCUUAUCGUUAGUUGCCAGCACGUUAUGGUGGGGACUUUAACGAGACUGCCAAUGAUAAAUUGGAGGAAGGUGAGGAUCACGUCAAAUCAGCAUGCCCCUUAUGACCUGGGCUACAAACGUGAUACAAUGGCUGUUACAAAGGGUAGCUGAAACGCAAGUUCUUGGCCAAUCCCCAAAAACAGUCCCAGUCCGGAUUGAAGUUUGCAACUCGACUUCAUGAAGUUGGAAUCGCUA